Molecule: long non-coding RNA, 728 nt
Organism: Solanum stenotomum
Lineage: Eukaryota; Viridiplantae; Streptophyta; Magnoliopsida; Solanales; Solanaceae
Exons: 3
Source: RefSeq, a predicted model, not a curated record
AGGGGAAGGGGCAAAAGUUUCAUCUCCUUCCUCAGAGUACAAACGAAGCAACCAUGGAUCGAUUGAGAGAAACGUCAAUGAGCUGGAGAGACAUCAAAGUCUUCAAAUUCAGUAUCCAACUCCACUCCAUAACCUAGAAGUUGUCGAGCUUAAGGUGUUUUCACCUAAGACAUUCCAAAUCUCACGAAUGCCAUAAAAACAAUCUUAAUGAAGACUUCUUCCACUCAACAAUAGCAGAUCUGUACCAAAGCUUCAGCUGCAAGCAUGCCACUCCAAUACUUGCUUAUGCCGAGAUUUCCAACAGGAUAAGUAUUUGUUCCUCUCGAUCCAUUUCGCCCUUGUUGAUUUCCUUUUGAUUGCUUUCAUGCCCUCAUCCAUCCAUUUUUCCAGAACAAUGUUUCGCCAUCCUCCUCGACUCUCAACAGAUUAAGCUUAAAUAGCUUAUACCACUGCUUGAAAUUCAAAAAAAAUAGAAAUAAGCAAGAGAGAGACUAUGCAGGGAGAGGAGAGACGCAAGGGAGAGAUGAUUGAAAAAAGAGGAGAGAGGAAAGCGAGAUUUCAAAGAGAGGUGAGAGAGAGGAUGAGAGGAGAUAUGUAAGACCAUCUCCAACCCAUCUCUAUUUUACCCUCCAUUCUCUAUAUUUGAAGGGUAAAAAUAGAGAAUAUCCUCUCCAACUCAUCUUUAUAUUACUCUCUAUUCCUAUUUAUAGAUAUGUGAAUAAUAGUUC